Non-coding RNA from Monodelphis domestica (gray short-tailed opossum), 69 nucleotides. NCBI's taxonomy places the organism in Eukaryota, Metazoa, Chordata, Mammalia, Didelphimorphia, Didelphidae. The record is from Ensembl.
GCAAAUAUAGUUUAACAAAAACAUUAGAUUGUGAGUCUAAAUAUAGAAGUUUAAACCUUCUUAUAUGCC